UACGAAGGGGGCUAGCGUUGUUCGGAAUUACUGGGCGUAAAGCGCGUGUAGGCGGGCCGUUAAGUCGGGGGUGAAAGCCCAGAGCUCAACUCUGGAAAUGCCUUAGAUACUGGCGGCCUGGAGCAUGAUAGAGGCGAGUGGAAUUGCGAGUGUAGAGGUGAAAUUCGUAGAUAUUCGCAGGAACACCGGUGGGGAAGGCGACUCGCUGGAUCAUUGCUGAAGCUGAGACGCGAAAGCGUGGGGAGCAAACAGG
RNAcentral lists this ribosomal RNA (253 nucleotides) under uncultured bacterium. RNAcentral's name for it is "partial 16S ribosomal RNA". It matches the Rfam family "Bacterial small subunit ribosomal RNA", at positions 524 to 776 of the family's 1533-position model. The record is from RNAcentral.